RNAcentral lists this transfer RNA (74 nucleotides) under Actinobacteria bacterium RBG_16_70_17. Its description in RNAcentral is "tRNA-Pro". It matches the Rfam family "tRNA". Rfam says of the family: Transfer RNA (tRNA) molecules are approximately 80 nucleotides in length. Their secondary structure includes four short double-helical elements and three loops (D, anti-codon, and T loops). Lineage: Bacteria; Bacillati; Actinomycetota. The record is from RNAcentral.
CGGGCUGUGGCGCAGCUUGGUAGCGCACCUGCUUUGGGAGCAGGGGGUCGCCGGUUCGAGUCCGGCCAGCCCGA